GUGCCAGCCGCCGCGGUAAUACCGGCAGCACGAGUGAUGGCCGAUAUUAUUGGGCCUAAAGCGUCCGUAGCCGGCCAGACAAGUCCGUUGGGAAAUCGGCGUGCCUAACACGUCGGCGUCCAGCGGAAACUGUUUGGCUUGGGGCCAGAAGAUCCGAGGGGUACGUCCGGGGUAGGAGUGAAAUCCCGUAAUCCUGGACGGACCACCGGUGGCGAAAGCGCCUCGGAAAGAUGGACCCGACGGUGAGGGACGAAAGCUGGGGUCUCGAACCGGAUUAGAAACCCUGGUAGUCC
Molecule: ribosomal RNA, 293 nt
Filed under: uncultured bacterium
Lineage: Bacteria
Description: partial 16S ribosomal RNA
Rfam family: Archaeal small subunit ribosomal RNA
Source: RNAcentral